Molecule: ribosomal RNA, 369 nt
Filed under: uncultured phototrophic eukaryote
Lineage: Eukaryota
Description: SSU rRNA
Rfam family: Bacterial small subunit ribosomal RNA
Source: RNAcentral
UACGGGGGAUGCAAGCGUUAUCCGGAAUCAUUGGGCGUAAAGCGCCUGUAGGUUGUUUAAUAAGUCUGUUGUUAAAGACUAGGGCUCAACCCUAGAAAAGCAAUGGAAACUGCUAGACUAGAGUAUGGUAGGGGUAGAGGGAAUUUCUAGUGUAGCGGUGAAAUGCGUAGAUAUUAGAAAGAACACCGGUGGCGAAAGCGCUCUACUGGACCAUUACUGACACUCAGAGGCGAAAGCUAGGGUAGCAAAAGGGAUUAGAUACCCCUGUAGUCCUAGCCGUAAACGAUGGAUACUAGAUGUUGCGCAUACCGUGCAGUAUCGUAGCUAACGCGUUAAGUAUCCCGCCUGGGGAGUACGCUCGCAAGGGUG